This 59-nucleotide transfer RNA is filed under the name Hemidactylus farasani (Farasan gecko). RNAcentral's name for it is "tRNA-Ser". Lineage: Eukaryota; Metazoa; Chordata; Lepidosauria; Squamata; Gekkonidae. The record is from RNAcentral.
GAGAGAGUUUAACUAGAUUGCUAACCUAGUACACCAAAACUAACCCCUUGGCUCUCUCC